This is a non-coding RNA of Dipodomys ordii (Ord's kangaroo rat), 58 nucleotides long. Lineage: Eukaryota; Metazoa; Chordata; Mammalia; Rodentia; Heteromyidae. The record is from Rfam.
UGGCUCAGUGGUAGAGCACUUGCCUUGCAUGCCAGAGGCCCUGGGUUCGAUUCCUCAG